Molecule: ribosomal RNA, 305 nt
Filed under: uncultured bacterium
Lineage: Bacteria
Description: bacterial SSU rRNA
Rfam family: Bacterial small subunit ribosomal RNA
Source: RNAcentral
UCCUACGGGGGGCAGCAGUGGGGAAUAUUGCACAAUGGGGGAAACCCUGAUGCAGCGACGCCGCGUGAGCGAUGAAGUAUUUCGGUAUGUAAAGCUCUAUCAGCAGGGACGAAGAUGACGGUACCUGACUAAGAAGCCCCGGCUAACUACGUGCCAGCAGCCGCGGUAAUACGUAGGGGGCAAGCGUUAUCCGGAUUUACUGGGUGUAAAGGGAGCGUAGACGGCGGUGCAAGCCAGAUGUGAAAGCCCGGGGCUCAACCCCGGGACUGCAUUUGGAACUGUAUGGCUGGAGUGUCGGAGAGGCA